RNA transcript from Manduca sexta (tobacco hornworm), 8014 nucleotides. RefSeq lists it as uncharacterized. The transcript has 2 exons. The record is from RefSeq and is a predicted model, not a curated record. Lineage: Eukaryota; Metazoa; Arthropoda; Insecta; Lepidoptera; Sphingidae.
UUCAAAUUAAACAUGCGUAAACUAUCUAUUUUAUGAAAACUGGUGAUGUUUAAUUUGAAAACAUAAACUGAAAUUUUUUAAUAUUUAAUUUAUCUCAAAGUUUGGAGCUAUUCCAGAUUUCAUAAAAUAAUUUUAAUGUGUUCAUCAUUUUUUAUUGUCUACAACAUCUAAGUUAUUAACGAAUCGUGGCGAAAAACUACCAACUCGGUGACAUGUGUUAGAGAGUUUUCCGGUGCAUUUCCUUUAUAUAUGGAAGCCUAUUUCUUUGGCGUUCCCAUAAACUUAGUAACUGUGGUUAUAGAUUUUAAUAAUCAAGAUCUGUUGCUAGUGUUGUUUAUUUUCAUAUUAGCUUUGAAUACUUUUUCUAUCUCAUAUUAAUUAUUCUUAAUAUUUACUAAACAUUUUUGAGUAAUGUUUUAUCAGGUUUUGUACUACAGUAAACCUAUUUUAAAUCUUUGAAGUAUUAUGAAAUUUACAUAUUUUUAAUGUUUUUUAUUUAGUUAUUCAAAUGAAUGACACAAUAUUGUCUAAAGGUUAAUUUCAAUAAAUUAUUCUAAGUCGUAUUCUAUACUAUAUUUUAGUUAUUAAAAUAUUGUGUUUAUUAGUAAAAUAUGCUAAAGUAUCAGCCUUAUAAAUUGACCACCACGUGAAUGAACUACGCGUUACUCCGUCAGGCAAUCAAGAACUUCGUAUAAGUAAAGUUCAAGUUGAAAAAUAGUAAUAAAUAAUACAAGGUCAAAAGACGUGUUUUAUUGACUUAACUUCAAGUGAUAUAUCCAGUCUACACAAACUACAGAACUGUUUCACUUUUAGGUUCAUAUUACAAGCUGAUACAAGUAGGCAGGCGUAAGAAACCAUUGAUGCUGAUCAACAACUACACCUUCGCUCAGACGACUUGCGACAAGAGGUAUUGGAACUGCAGCAGAAAGUUCUCAUCCAAAUGUCCAGCCAAGAUCAGGUUCAAUGAUGCUGGGGAGCUGAUCUUUCAAAUGCUGAUGCAUAACCACGAGCCGCCCACUUACUUUAGGACUGCUGACGGUAGAUAUGUUAAGGUUUAAGUUACCAUCACGUGACCAAAUUAGUCGAUUGCCUCAAUAAGAAAAAGUUUUUUUAGAGCCCCGUGUUUACUAACUUUGAUGCGUGUUGAGGAACGUGGCACAAUACCUGCAAGUACAUAAGGUCUCUCCCUGAAAUACGGCCUUGAGUAUUGGUUCCAUUAAUUUAAGGCGCACGAAUUAUGGGCGGGAAUGUGUUAAGAUUAUGAAUAAUUUCUUUAAAAAAACAUUUAUAACCCUUUUUGAAAAUUUGACCAUACAAAAAUAUUCCUUAUUAAAUUGUUCAUCUAAUAGCGAUGGUUGCAAAUUUAAAUGAUGUGUACCUUAAAAGGAGAUCCACGGAAUCCACAAUUGUAGUGUCAUUUUCAUUAUUAAAUUAAUUUAUGACAUAGGUAAAUUACAUUAUAAAAAAAAAUUACAUCCAAAGUAAACAUGUCUUUUUUAUAUGUAUUAUAUUUUUCGAAUGCAUAGCUUUUUAAAUACGGUUGGUGUGCCGUUUUUGUUGUGUAGGGGCCUUAUGAAAUGAAAAGGCACGAAUCAAAACACGACACGUAGGUAUAGAGCGACACAGUCGCAAGCGUACUACAAACUCCUUAAAUUAGGAGGAAAAAAGUUGCCAAUGUCCAGUAGGUAGAUGUUGCUAACUAAAUACAAGGCAAUGCACUUUGUCAUCAAGUAAGACCCUGUAAGUUUUAGUAAAAACUAUGAGUUUUUUUUUGUUAAUAAAAUAAUAUAAGUAGUUUAUUUGUUUUGUGUUGAGUUGUCGAUUGGCUGCAAUAAUCUUAUUAAGUAUUAUUUAUUAUUCUCGUCUUCCAGGUUUUAAUUUUUCAAAAUAUUUAUUGUAAGCACAGACGCAAAAAAUCUGCGAAUUUAUUAUACUUGAUCGGUUUGAAUUUUUUUUAUUCACGUCACGUUAAAUUGCUUUUGAUUUGAAGUAAUAACUUUAUGUUCCCAAUAUUCGAAAUCAUCUUAGAUAUAAGAUCGGUUCUAAAUAUUAUGUAAAUACUCAAUUUUACCUUAUUUUGAUUAUGUGUAAAGGUGGUGCCGAUAUGCUAUAGGACGUAAGCAAUAAUACAGAUCAUUUCAGAAAGCGUGUGGACGUUAGGGUUUAUAAAUUAAAUAUUGAUUUAUGAAACAUACUUUUUUAUGUAGGUAGAUAUUUAAAUUUUUUACAGCGCAAUAUUUUGCAUAUUUUUAAUGAGCAAAAUGCAGCGAAUACAUGAAGACUAAUGAAUAUAAAAAUCGGUAUUUCUUCAGAUUUUUAUUGCCUACCUAACAAAGAUAAAAAUGUCUUAUGAAUAUUAAAAUUAUAGUAAAUUAAAGAAGUUGUAAAAAUAUUAAUGUAUAAACAAUAUUUAGUAAGUACUUAUCUACUCAAUACUAUUAUGUCAUUUUUAGAGACCGUACCCCUUGUGUUUCUUAUUUUGACCAGAGAAUGCAAAUAAUUCUUAAACACAUGUUCAAAACCAAUAAGUGUAGGAUAGUAUUCCAAAGAUUUUGUGUAAUAUUUUAUUAUUAAAAACAUACAAAAUUUGAUAGAACUCACUUAUCACUAUAAAUAUAUUUAAAGUAUUUUUAAAGAAUGUCAAAAUGUAUAUAAUAGGUUGAGAUAUAACUAAGGUUAUAAAAUAAACACAUAUUUUACAUUAUAUAUAAACAAUUAACCGCAAUGAAUAUGGAAAAAUACAUAUCUCUAUGGCGACCCUUGGAGGACACAUUUCUGAACGCACUAUCAAUGACAAUUCUCUGACAGCUGAUCGUUGAAUUGGUGUAAAAAUAAAAACAAUGUAAGAAAAACAUUUUUAAACAGUAACAUAAAAUAGACUCCGAGUGCUAUAGUUACUUUGCAAAAUAAUAUUUGUGAGUGCAAGUGAAAAUAUUAUGAAAAGUAUCAAUGUUCCAAACAUAACCUCAAAGUGUUAAGAAGUGUUAUGUACUUUAAAUUUGCCCUAAAUAACUUUCUAAUACUUUACUUUAUCCAAAUAUGUGAAUGAAAUACAUAACAGUGUAAAUUGUUUUUAAUAUAUGGAAAUAAGAUAUUUAUGUUUAAACUAUAGUAUAAUCAAAACUUGUAAAUAUAAGGUUAACGAUAUUGCCGUAUUUAAAUACGUUUAUUUUGUCACGUUACGGUAGUUACAUGAAAAUGUAUGUCUAUAAGGACACACGUAUUUUGUUCAGUUGUUUUAAACUCAAAAUUUUAUUUCAUUACGGUAAAAAAGAAAAAACUAUAGAUUCUGAUAAAAUUAGUAAUUUAACAUAUCAUGAAAAUUUUAUUCAUGGUGUUUGUGUUAGAAUAAACUUGUAUUGUAUAAAAAUCUAUUUAAUAACUAGGUACUACUUCUUCUUGUCAUAUUAACAAUUCAUGUUAUAUUUAUGUUGUACUAUGUUUAAACUUGAAUCACUGCAAGAGAUAAAUUAUGUUGAUAAUUUAUACUGAUAAAUAAAAUAAGUAUCACAAAUUCGAGAAUGUUCAUUGACUAAUUUUUAUUUGCCUCAUUUACAUUACAAUAGCGAUGGGCCAUGUCGGUUCACAUGAUUACAAUAAUGUUCUAAAAAUGGAAUCAGAGUUUAAUCAGAAAAUGAGUCAACUUCUAAGCCAUAAAAAGAGUAACCAGGGUUACCUCAUGAAUACGGUGAGGUACCAAGAGCUAAUAGAAGAAGUGAAAUCUACAAAACAGAGACGAAACAAGGACUUUGACGAUUACAGACUCUUAGGAAAUUUUGAUGUUUUAAAUAUAAGUGGAAGAGAGAGAUUGAUUCAGCCGAAAGAUGAAGGGAACCAGUGCCUUAAAAUGUAUCUGCCUAUAGAAGAAUUAUUCAGUGGCUUACACACCGUCCAUUUGCUUAAUAAUCAUGCUGACAAAGAUAUUAUGGCUGUUCAAGUUAAAGCUAAAUAUUGUAAUGUAACUAAGGAAGUUAUUAAAAUAUAUUUGUCAUGUUGUAUUGUAUGUAAGAAACACAUGGAUUAAUUGUAAGAAUUACCCAUUCAAUUAAUUUGAUGUUAUAAGGUGCCUGUUGAUAAAAUAUUUCCUAGUUUAUUAUACAUUCUUUAGGCAAUUUUAUUAAAUGGAGGCUAUAUUGGUCUUCUAUAUAAAAUCUUAAAUGUUGCCAAUAAAUGAAUUAAACUUUAUACCAUGUUGCAAUUUGUUUUAAUUAUCUCCAUCGUUUUUUUAUAAACCCAAAGGUAUCACACAGUUAUAUUUUUUAAUUGAAAUGAAGAUUGACUAACCCUCAUCCCUUGUUGAGUUGUCUUGUAGUAUAUGGUAAAUGAUGCACAAUUUUUUUUUUCUACAUAAAGGUAUCUUACUAUGGGUUCAGAUGGUAAACAGAUGUUUAUGACUUCAAUUCAAUUUAUGGUAAUAUUUUUUAUAAUAUUGACAAUAUUAUUACAUAGAAUUCAGUUUAGAAGUGGUGAUUGCAAUAGUGAAAUAACUGAUGGUUAUAUUAUGAACAAUAUUUUGUACUUUUAUUUUUUUUAUAUAAAAUCCUCAUGCCGACUUUACAUUUCAGUGAAGUUCAUGACAUCGCGAGGUGGUGAUAGACUGAUGAAGCUUGGAGACUUCACGUUCACGAGUGAAGUGAGCGAUGGCGCUCUUUGCUAUUGGUCCUGCUACACCCACAACAGCUACGGCUGCCCCGCGAAGGUCUAUACAGAGAGCAAUAGAUUAAUGUACGCGAAGAAUCUUCAUAAUCAUCCGCCUACGGAGUUUUUUGUUUGACAUUAUGCUGUGUAUUUGCCGAAGCGGGUUUAUGUAUUCUGUGGCUACUAAACUGAGUCACUUAUGUAAUUACUGUAUAAUAUUUUCGGUAGCCUAAUCAUUCCGUUCGAUGGGGAUCCCCUCAUGGAAGGGAACGCACAUGACGAAAAUUGUAUGCCCUGGUUGCACUGCCUACCCCUUCUGGGAUAAAGGCGUGAUGAGUGUUUUCGUAAACUCCCUCUUACCUUCCUUAAUUCUUAUUCCUUUUUAAAGGCCGCAACAAAUUCGUAAUUUUCUGGUAAAAUAAAAAUAAUAUAAAUUAAAAUGCUUUAUUCAUCACGUAGGCGAACAUAGUUGCACUUAUGAUGGGUCAAGGUACAUGAGAAUAUUUAAUUAUUAUUGAAAUAAAGUCACUUAUACAUAUAACUUAAGACAUUUUAUAUUGGACAAAAUAGAUGAAAGACUAUAAAGUUAAUAUAGAAGCCAGCUCGGGCUGGCAGGAAAGAAGAUAUAAAAAUAUGUAUAUAAUCUUACAUAAAUAGAGGAACGCGUCGCGAUCCUCACCGAUGAGGGCGAUAAAAGCCCUACCCUAGCUAUCCCACUCACUGUAGAAGUUUAUAAAUGGGCGGUUGACAUCAAAAUAAGGUGACCCAUUGCUUUUUUAUCGGCCAUUAUUAAAAAAAGACAUAUUUAGAUAAACAAUUAAGAUUUUAUUUCUUUCGUGUAUAAGGUGUAGAAGUCAAUAACUUGACGACAACUGGUCGAUUAGUUUCGAUAAAUUAUUUUUUAGUAUUUACCACUACUAUAAUACACCCUAUUUUGGAUGGCAUUUACAUUUCAUGUUGUAAAUUUGCACCUGAGGCAUUUUUUUAGUACUUUUAGUCAAACUCCUCUCUUAUUUGCCAUAUUGACUUGCUUAUAGACUAGGAUAUUUAUAAUUUUUCUAUUUAUUGAUCUCGUAUUCAUUUUCUUUAGAGAUAGGUAUAGAUAUUCAGUUAUAUAAUAAGUUAUCCUAUGUACUUAAUAUACCGUUGCGCAAAGUUGUGUUGUUAAUUUGAAAUUAAACUUAACGCAAAUUGCUGCUUUCUUGGAAUAGGAAACACGAGUAUUGCUUCAAUAUUAAGGACGAGUCGAGUUUAAUAGAAAAAUAUCGUCGAAGAAACAAAACUUACAACUUAUAGAUAGCCCUUGGAGUCGGUAGCCUCGAUGUGCGGGCUACGCAGUUUCAUACACAGCGUAGAGCAAGGCAAUUCAGAUAAUUUUUUUUUCAUUUUUUUAUCACAACAUACAGAGCCACGUACGAAGCUAUGGAGGUGUGUAAAAAAUAUUAAUAUUUAUUAUUAAGCCUCACCUACGUCUUUGUACGCUUUAGUCGUGUAAGAAAUACGAAGACCUUUGCUCCAAAAGUGGUACGGUUAGACCAAGCGGUUCUUGGUGUGCCGUGAAAUUUUAUGUAAAUUUUAAACUUUGGUGUCGAUAAUGGACCGAUCUCAUUUCCAAGCAAAUAAGUCGCUCACUAUUCCAUGGAUUGCAGCAUAAAUGUUUCAGUACCUGUUUCACAAAUUCUGAGUACUAUGCGUCACAUAAAUGUAUAAGCCGACCAAAUACAAAAGUCUCACUCUGCUCGCAAACAAAUAGUAAUAAGGGGUAUUAUCUACCUUAGCCGUUUAAUACGAAUACUGUCAUACAAAAUUUACUUGGAAUUUGUGAAACAGGCUCAUAGAGUUUAACGCACUGAUUAAUCUAUCGCACAAAUUAGUUAAUUUCUUAUGACAACAAACGUCAUAUAGAAUGUAAUGCAUGUCUCUGCAUGGUAUUUCUAUUCGAGUUCCAUUCAUGAACUUUACCAUCAUGUUAGCAUCAACGAUCUUUAAUGCGUAAACAAAGCCAUUUGAACCUUGUGCCAGAAAAAAAGACCCGUUGAAAAAUAGGUGUUAAUCCGUCAUUUUUAAAAAAUAAGAUGUAUAAAAUAUCAAUUAUCGUUUGCCAUGUUUAUUGACAAACAUUGAUUAUAUAGCAAUUGUCAUUAGUGAGUUUCCGCUCCUAGAUAAAAACUAGCAAAUUCUGCCAUAAAAUAUUGUAUAUUUUUAAACAGUUAAUCUGAAUGAUGUACUUUGAUUUAUAUGUUUUUUUAUGUAAUAUAGGAUUUAUUCAACACUAUUCCUGCAAGUCAACAUUAUUAUGUAGGCUGACGACAGAGGCUAAUUCUUUCGAUAAACUUGCCUGAAUUUGCUUGGUAAUUCCACAUUUGCGCUGAGCUUGCCUCUUUAAUUUUUACUAUGUGUCAUCAGAUGCUAUUGCAAAAUUUUCAGAAACGUGAUACAAAAUAUAUUUUAAGAGAUUGCUAGCUUUUAAGCGUAUGGCGAAUACAGAAAAUUCAAUGGCUCCUAAGUAAAUUAUCAUACCUGAAAACAUAGCGAUAUUCACUUUUUUAACGUUUCGUUAUGUACUUUUACUACCAAAACCCAUUAAAAAAAGUUAGUAAAUGAUUGCUGAUGAAGUGUUUUUUGUUUAUUAACUUUUGAAUUAAUUGGGUUUGGUAGUAAACAGUACCUAGACAGCGAAAUGCUAAAAUGUGAAUGUCGCAAUUUUUCCAGAUACGAUACUUUACUUGGGAGCCAUUGAUUAAAAUUAAUUUUAAAAUCUGUAAUUUAGGGGUAUGUCGCAGCGUAUUGUUCUUAUAAGUAUAUCUACAGAAUCAGCGCUGCGCUGUACUUCAUUUACGCGUAUAUUAAUGUGGGAAUGUAUAAUAUGUUGUAUAUUCAAUUGUAGCUAAGUGAUGCCUCCUACUAUUUUGUAAUUCGGUUUUCUGGGUGGUGUUGCUGAUGUUUAGACCUGGACGCUUCAAUUUAACACGUGUUAUAUGUGGGUAUUUUAUUUACAAGUUUUACUUACAGUGUUUACUGACGAACAAUUUACUUAUUUAAUAACAGUAACAUUUCUAAAUUUUAAGCUGUAAAAAUAGAUACGUACGUGUGUUGUAAUAACCAGAUUACGAAGUUUGCAUUUUUAAAGGGUUCGUAAGUAACUUUGUAAGUAAAAUUUUCAAAAGUAAGGCCCAUCUAAAAAUAAUGUAUAUAAAGUAAACAUAAUGGGUGCUACUGUUGUGAUAAUCAUGACGUGAUCUCCUUGUACAUUCUUGCCUAUCACGUAUAUUAUCUAGUUUUAGUACAAAUGUAGUGUCACACUCAAGAUAUUCAGUAUUAAAUCACUCGUGUUCCAAUGCUCUCUAUUUUGUAUCAAAUAUAUAAUUUACUACUU